CCUGACCUCGGAUCAGUCGUGACUACCCGCUGAACUUAAGCAUAUCACUAAGCGGAGGAAAAGAAACUAACCAGGAUUCCCCUAGUAACGGCGAGUGAAGAGGGAUUAGCCCAGCACCGAAGCCUGCGGCAGUUUUGCUGUUAGGCAAUGUGGUGUUUGGGUCGGCUGGUUGGAUUGCCGCUCCACUCGAAGUCCAGCAUUGAGUAUGGUCACUGGAUUUGGCCCAAAGAGGGUGAAAGGCCCGUACGGGUGGAGGCUCAGUUAAGUAAGGCAAUUCAUCAGGUCGGCCUUCGAGUCGGGUUGUUUGAGAAUGCAGCCCAAAGUGGGUGGUAAACUCCAUCCAAGGCUAAAUACAUACACGAGUCCGAUAGCGAACAAGUACCGUGAGGGAAAGUUGAAAAGUACUUUGAAGAGAGAGUAAACAGUACGUGAAACCGCAUGCAGGUAAACGGGUGGCGUCAAGCUGCAAGCCUGGAGGAUUCAGCUGACUAGGGUGUUGUAUGCGCCUGGCGCAUCAAUCAGUCGGAGUAGGAAUGAAUAGUCCACUGUGAUACGGUGGGCCUGGCCGCAAGGCUGGGAUUUGUGUACCGGGCGGUGGCCGGAGCUUGCUAUUCAUCCAUGGACUGUCUAGUCAGUGCACUUUCUCCGUGGUGAACACCACGACCGAUGGUAUUGCCAGUCUGCUGUAGUCAAGUCGUAUCUGGUAGGCUCUCGUGGUCAACCGGGUGCGAUCACAGGCAAACUCAGUGAACGGCGUAGGGGUGCUUCGGCACCUUUACGUGAUAUCGGCUACUGGUUGUCAACGGGCUGUCUGAUGGUUGUUGAUCGCCAUUGGAUGGUCUGGUGGGCUAUGGUGGUAUGAAUAACUGUGCAAGGCAUCGGAGAUAUCGACCUCAAAUGUGGCCUACCCCAUGUUACAAGUGGUGGGGUGCCGUUGGGGCCUGCCUAAUGUUGGGUCUGAUUGCUGUGUCGCCUGCGAAAGUGGGCCCGGCAGUGGCCUGAUGUGGGAUGGGUCUCGGAUGGUGCCUCCAGUGUGGGCUGCUGUGGGUCAUAUAGUCAGUGGUGUAGUGGUAGACGAGCUACCCGACCCGUCUUGAAACACGGACCAAGGAGUUUAACAUGUAUGCAAGUCAAAGGGCUCUACGAAACCCCAAGGCGAAGUGAAAGUGAAGCUCCGACUUGUUCUCGGAGUGUGGUGAGAUCCUGCCGUUACUCGCAUCAGCCGACACCAGGCUAAGAGCGGUGGGCGCAUCACCGGCCCGUCCCAUGAUGUGGCCAUUGGAUGUCUGUGGUGGCUGCUUCAGUGCUGCGGUGCCAGUGCGUCAUCGGAGCGGUGCAUGAGCAUACAUGUUGAGACCCGAAAGAUGGUGAACUAUGCUUGCGUAGGUUGAAGCCAGAGGAAACUCUGGUGGAGGACCGCAGCGAUUCUGACGUGCAAAUCGAUCGUCAAACGUGAGUAUAGGGGCGAAAGACUAAUCGAACCAUCUAGUAGCUGGUUCCCUCCGAAGUUUCCCUCAGGAUAGCUGGCACUCAUUAGCAUACUCAGUUUUAUCCGGUAAAGCGAAUGAUUAGAGGUACUGGGUUCGAAACGGGCUCAACCUAUUCUCAAACUUUAAAUGGGUGAGAUGUCCGGCUCGCCUAAUAGGAGUCGGGCGUUGAAUGUGCGAGUGCCAAGUGGG
RNAcentral lists this ribosomal RNA (1679 nucleotides) under Tetraphyllidea gen. n. sp. p KJ-2022. RNAcentral's name for it is "partial large subunit ribosomal RNA". It matches the Rfam family "Eukaryotic large subunit ribosomal RNA", at positions 1 to 1130 of the family's 3401-position model. Lineage: Eukaryota; Metazoa; Platyhelminthes; Cestoda; Tetraphyllidea. The record is from RNAcentral.